Molecule: non-coding RNA, 24 nt
Filed under: Arabidopsis thaliana (thale cress)
Lineage: Eukaryota; Viridiplantae; Streptophyta; Magnoliopsida; Brassicales; Brassicaceae
Source: RNAcentral
CAAGUGGUUGAGUAGAGAGAAUGG